UUUAGCCGGUAGGAUUUGGGCACAACCGUGAUUGACAGAGUUGAGUCACCGCAGUAAACAGUUUGCGGGUUGGGGCUUGUCGCUCAUUACAAUUGGGUGCAUUUGAGUAUCUGGGGUUCUCAGUUACCAAAUCCUUUGCACAAUCAACUGCCAAAAUGUGUUGGAGUCAACGCGCCUCAGGCAUGAACACACUACUUUAGAGACUCGUGAGAUAUUUGCGUUGGAUAUAAAGUUUUACAGAUUGAGCAUUGACUUGUUUCUCUUUGAGGGAGAACAUCUGUCAGAAGUUUGGACGCUUUUUAAGUUGGAAAGUUUUACAGAUUGAGCAUUGACUUGUAUCUCUUUGAGGGAGAACAUCUGUCAGAAGUUUGGACGCUUUUUAAGUUGGAAAGGUAAGAAUAUCUAACCAGAGUUAGACAAAAGUUUACCUGUAUUGCAAUGGGCGUCUGUACUGUUAGACAAUAUUUGAAUUUUUGGUUGCUUUGAGCCGUGGAAAGGGCGUUAGAUGUUUCUCGGAUUCGGGAAUUUUGACUGAAACAAUUGGAGACUUUCCGGACGAUUUACCACACACGUUUGCCCGAUCACGUGGCAUUUCAUCCAGAGCUAAAGUUUUUGCAAACCAAAUGGUUGGGAGAUCUUGGCCCAGUAAUCCUUUUUUCGUGUAAUAGUGAUUUUUCAUCAAAUAAAUAGAGAAUAAUACAUGGGCGCGCGUAGAUAUGGAAUUUCUGUGUGUAACUCGAUAGCUCACGAGUGAACGCAGCGAACGAGUGAGAUGUCGAGUUG
Pocillopora damicornis (cauliflower coral) is the source of this 783-nucleotide long non-coding RNA. The record is from RefSeq and is a predicted model, not a curated record. Lineage: Eukaryota; Metazoa; Cnidaria; Anthozoa; Scleractinia; Pocilloporidae.